GGGGCGUUCGUCUAGUGGUCAGGACACCCGUCUUUCGAACGGACAACGCGGGUUCGAGUCCCGCACGCCCUGCCA
Molecule: transfer RNA, 75 nt
Filed under: Vannielia litorea
Lineage: Bacteria; Pseudomonadati; Pseudomonadota; Alphaproteobacteria; Rhodobacterales; Paracoccaceae
Description: tRNA-Glu
Rfam family: tRNA
About the family: Transfer RNA (tRNA) molecules are approximately 80 nucleotides in length.
Source: RNAcentral